RNA transcript from Rosa chinensis, 2809 nucleotides. It is a transcript of the gene named plant intracellular Ras-group-related LRR protein 9, with no coding region annotated. NCBI's taxonomy places the organism in Eukaryota, Viridiplantae, Streptophyta, Magnoliopsida, Rosales, Rosaceae. The transcript has 4 exons. The record is from RefSeq and is a predicted model, not a curated record.
GAAGUCUGAACCUGAAGGUAUUUAAGGAAUUUAGUUCUAAUCUCUCGUUCUCCCUCUGUUUAAACUUCUCAAUUUCUCAAACGAAUCCCAUCAAAACAAACCCUUACCCGUCCCGAUGGAUCGGAACCGCUUCCCGAUGCUCUCCUACGUCCUGGACCGGCUUCCCUCCUUGGGAUCCAAGCCAACCACCCCCGUCGUCUCCGACCUCAUGUCCAUCCACAUCGGCGAUCCAGCCGCUGCUCAAAGCGAGAUCGCUGACCGGAUGCCCCACCUCUCCGACCCGAAAGUCAUCGCCGCGAUGAGACGCGCCGUGGCCGACGUGGCUCAGGCCCGAUCCGUCCUCACCGAGCUCGGCGACCGACCCGAUCACGAGACCGUUGACUCCGCCAAGGCCAAGCUCGCCGUCAUCGAUGCCGGCCGUGCUGACGUGGCCGAGACGGAGCAGCGUGAAUCGGCGGGGAGAGAAGAGCAAGAGUGCAUGGCGAUCCUCCAGCUGGAGGAGUUGCACGUCGCCUACGAGAAGCUUCUCAAGGACGCCGAGGAGAGGCUCGUCAAGAUUUACCGGUCGGCGGAGGCCGGAGUGGUGGAGGAGGAGGAGGAGAAGGUGGAUGGCGUCAGCGACCAAGUCGAUGAGGAGGUCGUCCGGAUUCUGCAGCAGGCGUCGGCCGGGACAGGGCCGGACCGGGUCGACCUCUCGGAUCGAGGCUUGCGUUUCUUGCCCGAGGAGUUUGGCCGGAUCAGUGGAUUGCUUCAGCUUGAUCUUUCCAACAAUGAGCUGCAGGCCAUUCCUGAUACAAUAGCCGGAUUAGAGAAGCUAGAAGUGCUGAAUUUGUCUACCAAUCUCUUGGAGUCACUGCCCGAGACGAUUGGGCUGCUGCAAAAUUUGAAGCUCCUCACUGUCUCCGGCAACAAGCUAACUGCCCUUCCUGACUCUAUCUGCCACUGCAGGUCAUUGGUGGAGUUGGAUGUGAGUUUCAACCAGCUCACGUACUUGCCAACCAACAUUGGUUAUGAGUUGGUUAAUCUACAGAAGCUUUCGGUGCAGUUGAACAAAAUCCGUUCCUUUCCUACCUCUAUUUGUGAGUUGAGGUCUUUGCUGUCUUUGGAUGCUCACUUCAAUGAGCUACGUGGUCUUCCACUAGCUUUUGGCCGAUUGACUAGUCUCCAAAGUCUCAACCUUGCCAGUAAUUUUACUGAUCUCACUGAGCUCCCGGAUACUUUUGGUGAUCUAACCAAUCUCAAGGAACUUGAUCUCAGCAACAAUCAGCUUCAUGCUCUUCCAGAUACAUUUGGCCGCCUUGAAAAUCUGGUUAAACUUAACCUGGAUGGAAACCCUCUUGUGGUUCCGCCUCCUGAUGUAGUUCAACAAGGUGUUGAAGCCAUCAAGGUCUUUAUGAGCAAUAGGUGGUUAGAGUUACUGGCGGAAGAAGAAAAGAAAAGCAUGCUUCAAGUACAAGAACAGGAAGAAGCAGGAUGGUUGACACGCGGCACUUCUUGGGUGAAGGGUUAUGUUUCAGGUGUUUCUGAAUAUCUAUCCCCAAAAGCUCCCGAAGACCCUAUUCUUAAUCAGCAGCUAUGAUUUUAACUUUUAAGGAACAUAACACCUGAAGAGCCCAAGGAUGAUGCAGAUGGCUGGUGGAGAUUCUAGAAUUGAAGUCUCUGAGCGCUAUUUAGGCCUUUAUACUAUAAUAGAGUGAAACUUACCAGUUAAAAUUCCAAGCCUGGACUGAAUAUUUUAUUAGAGCAGUUGCUGAAUCUAUGGAAUUUUCCAUCUUCUGUCUUGAGUGAUUUCCAACUUCCUCUUGAUAUCUGCAAGGAAAUUUAUGAUUUUCUUGCUCGUUUCUGGUGGAUAAUUGGUUAGGAGAAUUUUGAAACCAAAAGCAUUCAUUGGAAAAAGUGAGUCCUAAAGUCAGCUCAAACUCUUAAUUUAUCUAUUUUAUGGGGUAAAACAAUUCUACAACUCAGUAGGCGAUGGUGUGUCGUAUUGGAAAAAUUCUAGUGCGUGACUGUUUAUGAGGACAAUUAGCUGGUUAAUCCUCACAAUUUUAACAUGUAGGCCCUUCCCAAUUUAGCAUUCCCAAGCAUUGGAUUGUACAAUGAGGUCAUUAUUCUUUUCAUUAGGUAACUGGGAUGCGGGGAAAGUUCAAGAUAACUUCAACACCGUUGGUUUUCUGUGACAGGCUUGAUAUGGUUACUUGGCUUUUACACUGCAGGGGAUGGUUAUUGGGUUGAUUUAUUGUAGAGUUCAUGAUAAUGCUGCUGGUACUAUUGGAAAUCCAAAGCUCUGGGACGCAUCAACACUUUUGGAACUAUCUUUGGAAGCACAGGUUGGCUCAAUGCUGCAUUCUCGUAUGUGACUUUCAUAAAUUGUGCAGCAUAAGUGAUUUUCUGGUUCUUGCUGGGCAGCAUCAUCAUUCCUUCAUGGUACUCCUACACUUUUAUUUGUUAAAGCCAAGCACUGUAGAUAAUGUGAAGCUAACAGUGGUUGUACGAUGGCUGGUCUAUGCUGAAGUAAUGAAGUUUUACAUGAUAUGGCGUCUCAGGCAGUAGUGUUGAUAAUUCGUAUGGAGACCAAGGCAAGCUUUCCUCUGGCAUUUCACAGGGCAUCUAGUAUUUUGAAAGCUACUGUUUCCAUCUUAGAAUCCAGAAUGUUCUGUUCAAUCUUUACUGUUUCAGUUUCCUUGUAAGCUGACAUUUGGUUUAGGACAUGACUUGUGUACAUGAGUUCUUGUGCUACCGCUACUUUCUUCUAUAUCACCACUACCAUUUUGUUGCCGUUUUGACGAGACUAGUUGCUAGUUUAGUAUCA